CCCUUGACUCUGGGAUAAGCCUGGGAAACUGGGUCUAAUACUGGAUAUGACUUCUCACCGCAUGGUGGGGGGUGGAAAGAUUUAUUGGUCUUGGAUGGACUCGCGGCCUAUCAGCUUGUUGGUGAGGUAAUGGCUCACCAAGGCGACGACGGGUAGCCGGCCUGAAAGGGUGACCGGCCACACUGGGACUGAGACACGCCCCAGACUCCUACGGGAGGCAGCAGUGGGGAAUAUUGCACAAUGGGCGCAAGCCUGAUGCAGCGACGCCGCGUGAGGGAUGACGGCCUUCGGGUUGUAAACCUCUUUCAGUAGGGAAGAAGCGAAAGUGACGGUACCUGCAGAAGAAGCGCCGGCUAACUACGUGCCAGCAGCCGCGGUAAUACGUAGGGCGCGAGCGUUAUCCGGAAUUAUUGGGCGUAAAGAGCUCGUAGGCGGUUUGUCGCGUCUGCCGUGAAAGUCCGGGGCUUAACCCCGGAUCUGCGGUGGGUACGGGCAGACUAGAGUGCAGUAGGGGAGACUGGAAUUCCUGGUGUAGCGGUGAAAUGCGCAGAUAUCAGGAGGAACACCGAUGGCGAAGGCAGGUCUCUGGGCUGUAACUGACGCUGAGGAGCGAAAGCAUGGGGAGCGAACAGGAUUAGAUACCCUGGUAGUCCAUGCCGUAAACGUUGGGCACUAGGUGUGGGGGACAUUCCACGUUUUCCGCGCCGUAGCUAACGCAUUAAGUGCCCCGCCUGGGGAGUACGGCCGCAAGGCUAAAACUCAAAGGAAUUGACGGGGGCCCGCACAAGCGGCGGAGCAUGCGGAUUAAUUCGAUGCAACGCGAAGAACCUUACCAAGGCUUGACAUGUUCCUGACCGCCGUAGAGAUACGGUUUCCCCUUUGGGGCAGGUUCACAGGUGGUGCAUGGUUGUCGUCAGCUCGUGUCGUGAGAUGUUGGGUUAAGUCCCGCAACGAGCGCAACCCUCGUUCCAUGUUGCCAGCACGUAGUGGUGGGGACUCAUGGGAGACUGCCGGGGUCAACUCGGAGGAAGGUGGGGACGACGUCAAAUCAUCAUGCCCCUUAUGUCUUGGGCUUUCAC
Molecule: ribosomal RNA, 1079 nt
Filed under: Micrococcus terreus
Lineage: Bacteria; Bacillati; Actinomycetota; Actinomycetes; Micrococcales; Micrococcaceae
Description: bacterial SSU rRNA
Rfam family: Bacterial small subunit ribosomal RNA
Source: RNAcentral